ACCUGGCUGGCUCAGUACGAAGAGCAUGCGACUCUUGAUCUCGGAGUGGUGAGUUCGAGCCCCACGUUGGGUG
RNAcentral lists this transfer RNA (73 nucleotides) under Felis catus (domestic cat). It matches the Rfam family "tRNA". From Rfam's summary of the family: Transfer RNA (tRNA) molecules are approximately 80 nucleotides in length. Their secondary structure includes four short double-helical elements and three loops (D, anti-codon, and T loops). Lineage: Eukaryota; Metazoa; Chordata; Mammalia; Carnivora; Felidae. The record is from Rfam by way of RNAcentral.